AGCAGUGUGGCUCAGUGGAAAGAGCACGGGCUUUGGAGCCAGAGGACGUCGGUUCAAAUCCCGGCUCUGCCA
This 72-nucleotide transfer RNA is filed under the name Ornithorhynchus anatinus (platypus). It matches the Rfam family "tRNA". Rfam says of the family: Transfer RNA (tRNA) molecules are approximately 80 nucleotides in length. Their secondary structure includes four short double-helical elements and three loops (D, anti-codon, and T loops). The record is from Rfam by way of RNAcentral. Lineage: Eukaryota; Metazoa; Chordata; Mammalia; Monotremata; Ornithorhynchidae.